This 409-nucleotide ribosomal RNA is filed under the name uncultured Diversispora. RNAcentral describes it as "SSU rRNA". It matches the Rfam family "Eukaryotic small subunit ribosomal RNA", at positions 569 to 981 of the family's 1831-position model. Lineage: Eukaryota; Fungi; Glomeromycota; Glomeromycetes; Diversisporales; Diversisporaceae. The record is from RNAcentral.
AGCAGCCGCGGUAAUUCCAGCUCCAAUAGCGUAUAUUAAAGUUGUUGCAGUUAAAAAGCUCGUAGUUGAACUUCGGAAUUUGCCCAUUGGUCAGGCAGAACUGUCUGCAUUGGUGUGACGAGUUCCUACCUUCUGAGGAAUCUUCAUGCCAUUCAGUUGGUGUGGGGGGAAAUCAGGACUGUUACUUUGAAAAAAUUAGAGUGUUUAAAGCAGGCAUCCGUCUGAAUACAUUAGCAUGGAAUAAUAAAUAGGACGGUUUGGUUCUAUUUUGUUGGUUUCUAGGAUCACCGUAAUGAUUAAUAGGGAUAGUUGGGGACAUUAGUAUUCAAUUGUCAGAGGUGAAAUUCUUGGAUUUAUUGAAGACUAACUACUGCGAAAGCAUUUGCCAAGGAUGUUUUCAUUAAUCAAG